CUUGACCGAACCCAGCCACAACGGCCGGCCCCCAUCCCGCUCCUGCCCAUACGUCGACAGCAGGGCCUGCGCCUC
This 75-nucleotide antisense RNA is filed under the name Streptomyces parvus. RNAcentral describes it as "ASpks TB sRNA". It matches the Rfam family "ASpks TB sRNA". RNAcentral also lists the same sequence under 1 other name. The record is from RNAcentral. Lineage: Bacteria; Bacillati; Actinomycetota; Actinomycetes; Kitasatosporales; Streptomycetaceae.